This 253-nucleotide ribosomal RNA is filed under the name uncultured bacterium. RNAcentral describes it as "partial 16S ribosomal RNA". It matches the Rfam family "Bacterial small subunit ribosomal RNA", at positions 524 to 776 of the family's 1533-position model. The record is from RNAcentral.
UACGAAGGGGGCUAGCGUUGCUCGGAAUUACUGGGCGUAAAGCGCACGUAGGCGGCUCUUUAAGUCGGGGGUGAAAUCCUGGAGCUCAACUCCAGAACUGCCUUCGAUACUGGAGAGCUCGAGUCCGGGAGAGGUGAGUGGAACUGCGAGUGUAGAGGUGAAAUUCGUAGAUAUUCGCAAGAACACCAGUGGCGAAGGCGGCUCACUGGCCCGGUACUGACGCUGAGGUGCGAAAGCGUGGGGAGCAAACAGG